UGGGGAAUAUUGGACAAUGGGCGAAAGCCUGAUCCAGCCAUGCCGCGUGUGUGAAGAAGGUCUUCGGAUUGUAAAGCACUUUAAGUUGGGAGGAAGGGCAGUAAGCGAAUACCUUGCUGUUUUUACGUUACCGACAGAAUCAGCACCGGCUAACUCUGUGCCAGCAGCCGCGGUAAUACAGAGGGUGCAAGCGUUAAUCGGAAUUACUGGGCGUAAAGCGCGCGUAGGUGGUUCGUUAAGUUGAAUGUGAAAGCCCCGGGCUCAACCUGGGAACUGCAUCCAAAACUGGCGAGCUAGAGUAGGGCAGAGGGUGGUGGAAUUUCCUGUGUAGCGGUGAAAUGCGUAGAUAUAGGAAGGAACACCAGUGGCGAAGGCGACCACCUGGGCUCAUACUGACACUGAGGUGCGAAAGCGUGGGGAGCAAACAGG
Molecule: ribosomal RNA, 429 nt
Filed under: Pseudomonadota bacterium
Lineage: Bacteria; Pseudomonadati; Pseudomonadota
Description: Proteobacteria bacterium partial 16S ribosomal RNA
Rfam family: Bacterial small subunit ribosomal RNA
Source: RNAcentral